RNAcentral lists this ribosomal RNA (717 nucleotides) under uncultured bacterium. RNAcentral's name for it is "bacterial SSU rRNA". It matches the Rfam family "Bacterial small subunit ribosomal RNA", at positions 708 to 1438 of the family's 1533-position model. The record is from RNAcentral.
CCAAGUGGCGAAGGCGGCUUACUGGCUCGUAACUGACACUCAGUCACGAAAGCCUGGGGAGCAAAUAGGAUUAGAUACCCUAGUAGUCCACGCUGUCAACUAUGGAUGCUAGAUAUUGGGGAAACUCAGUGCCGAAGCUAACGCGAUAAGCAUCCCGCCUGGGUAGUACGUUCGCAAGAAUAAAACUUAAAGGAAUUGACGGGAGCCCGCACAAGCAGUGGAGCAUGUGGUUUAAUUCGACGCUACUCGAAGAACCUCACCAGGACUUGACAUCUGGUUAAAUACCCUAGAGAUAGGGGGAUAGUCAUAGCCAAGACAGGUGGUGCAUGGUUGUCGUCAGCUCGUGUCGUGAGAUGUUGGGUUAAGUCCCGCAACGAGCGCAACCCUCGUCCUUAUUUGCCAUCAUUAAGUUGGGAACUAUAGGGAGACUGCCGAUGUAAAUCGGAGGAAGGUGGGGAUGACGUCAAAUCAUCAUGCCCUUUAUGUCCUGGGCCACACACGUGCUACAAUGGCCGAUACAAAGAGUCGCUAACCCGUAAGGAUCAGCAAAUCUCAAAAAAUCGGUCUCAGUUCAGAUUGAGGUCUGCAACUCGACCUCAUGAAGCUGGAAUUGCUAGUAAUCGCAAAUCAGCGAUGUUGCGGUGAAUACGUUCUCGGGCUUUGUACACACUGCCCGUCAAACCAUGAGAGCUGGUAAUACUUGAAGUCGUAUCCUAA